RNAcentral lists this long non-coding RNA (417 nucleotides) under Schistocerca americana (American grasshopper). RNAcentral describes it as "uncharacterized LOC124625786". The record is from RNAcentral. Lineage: Eukaryota; Metazoa; Arthropoda; Insecta; Orthoptera; Acrididae.
UAGGCAUCAGCACCGCACAGGUGUCCUGUUCUACAGAAUGUUUGAACCUGGCAACUCAGAUUCGCAAUGCCGACAGUAUUUUCACUGCAGCUUCCCUUUAUAGCGAGUUUUUCAUCGAUGGUUGCAAUAUCCAGUGCCUAAACCAAAGAACACAGACUACAACUACGACAACCAGAACAACUACAAAUACAGCAACACCAUCGACAACAACAUCAAGAAUAAUGUCAACAACAACUGCGCAGGAACCGCGUAUCAAAUCUGGUUAAUAUGCUAAAGUUUUGCAGAACAACACUUUGCAUGGCAUAAUGCACGUUACAAACAACGCCUGUGACAAUAUCAUCCCGGUCAACGCAGAUUUUGUGUGGUAUUUACAAUAAAGAUGCACCAAUUUAAACCACUGAUUUCUGUGUAAGAAUA